RNAcentral lists this ribosomal RNA (301 nucleotides) under uncultured bacterium. RNAcentral's name for it is "partial 16S ribosomal RNA". It matches the Rfam family "Bacterial small subunit ribosomal RNA", at positions 509 to 807 of the family's 1533-position model. The record is from RNAcentral.
CAGCAGCCGCGGUAAUACGUAGGUGGCGAGCGUUAUCCGGAAUUAUUGGGCGUAAAGCGCGCGUAGGCGGUUUCUUAAGUCUGAUGUGAAAGCCCACGGCUCAACCGUGGAGGGUCAUUGGAAACUGGGAAACUUGAGUGCAGAAGAGGAAAGUGGAAUUCCAUGUGUAGCGGUGAAAUGCGCAGAGAUAUGGAGGAACACCAGUGGCGAAGGCGACUUUCUGGUCUGUAACUGACGCUGAUGUGCGAAAGCGUGGGGAUCAAACAGGAUUAGAUACCCCGGUAGUCCCUGUCUCUUAUAC